AGAGGGCUUUACAAUUACAUGGAAGGGCAGUCAGUCCCUUCAUUAGGGUAUUCAGUAGUUUCCAAAGCCCUGUGUCAUGUCUCUUUAUCCAAGUUGCCAUUACGUAUCAUUGUCACGCAAUGAACAGGCCAGGCUUAGGACACUGGAUAAAGGUAAAUGUUGGGAAAGCCUUAAUGUCCCCUUCUGAAAGGCCCCCUCUUUCCAUAUUUAGUUUCUAAGUGACAUUCUUAAUAAGAGUUAACAAAUGACAGUCAAGCAGGAAGAGUAAUUUUCUAGUACCAAACCAAGGAAAUAAAAAACAGUGAAUUGGCUAUUACUUCUUAACAUACCUGUGAAUGUUAAGAAUCUUGGGUAAUCCAUGCUGUAGGAGUUCUACCUGAUUUUUCAGUUUGCCUUGAAAUGUCUUCAACAUAUUCCAGUCCAGUAUUUUGUGCAUUAACAAGUUAAGUUUUUGGAGUUCCCCCCCAUGACGGAGUGGGUUAAAAAUCUGAUUGCAGUGGCUCAGGUCACGGUAGAGCCCUGGGUUUGAUCCUCGGCAGUGAGUUAGGCUGUUGGUGCAGCUGUGGCGGAGGUGGCAGCUGGGGCUUGGAUGUGGUCCCUGGCCCAGGAACUUCCACAUGGCAUGGGGGUGGCCAAAAGAAAAGAAAGGAAAAGAAAAAGUUAAUUUUUUGACUGGAUUUAAUUGAGUAGUUUUGACUUCCUUAAUCCAGAAGUUUUAUUUUGACUGUGUUUCCAGAGAUACAGUUUAAUGAUGUAUGGAGGAAUAACAGUGAUGAGAAUGAUGGUGGGAUCCAGCAGUUGCAUCUUGUGAGAGCAGAAAUAGCUGAGAGAACGUGCAGAGGAUGAGGGAGGGAGGUGCUUGGAAAUGUGUCGUAUUUGCGGUUGGAGCGUAUUUUCAGAUAGUGCUCCAUCACUGGAGGAAGAGGAUUGAGAAUGCUCUGCCAGUUAGUAUUUUACGAGAACCUUCUUUGACCUGAAGGCAUUUUCCCUGGGGAGGGGAUGAGUGAUUUGUCAUCAGUGGAAGGAUGUAGGAAGCAAAAGCUGCAUGCAUGUCUUUUCCGUGGAGUUACUAUUUCCACCCAUCGUGACUGAUUCUUGCCACCACAUGCAUGUUCAGGCACAUUCCUAGUAGAGAUUUGAUAUUUGUGGGCAGCCACUAGUAGGAGAAGGAAAGAAGAGAAAGGGAUGGCAAGUGACAAAGCACAGAGCUUUGGUUAAUAGGCUUUCACUGGGGCACAAUUUAGCGGCUGCGCCUCCACAGCCUCUAUUAUGAAAACCGUUCUGAUAAUACCGACUGUGUCUAUAACUCUCUUCUAUGUAUCUGGAAAUAUGGAGAAUCAACCUUUGAACAUGCCUCAAGGAACAAUGGAACACACUUAGAAUACAGCCUAUGACAAGUUUGUCAUUUCUCAUGCCAGCCAUUUCUGUACAUUUGUCACUUUUGGAGGCCGGGGUGACAGAAUGCCAGCCUUGGCUCGUGUGUACGAGGCAUUUAAACCAUGUCAUGUCUCACCAGGUUGGAGAACAGGUCCUUCUUCCUUCCUCCCUUCAGAACUCGGCUCUCAAGUGGGUGCCCUUUUCAGCUCCUGGGGUGCAGGGGCCUUUUCUGGGUCCCUCCUGGCCAUCUGCCCGGAGGCGGGGACAGUGUUUGCAUCGCAGGUGUGCAGGAAAUACUUGUGCAAUGAAGAGAUAGGCUGGAAUCCUCUCUGUUCUCACCUCCAGUGGAAAUCCCACUCACCUUUAGGGGCAGGGCAGCCUCGCCUUCUCCGGAGUCUCAGCUCACAAUGCACCCUUUGAGUGUCAGCUGUUUCUGCCACACACUUUGGCAUUUAAUCUCUUGCAGCUUUAUAUUGUCGCCUGAGUGUUCCCCGUGUUUUGUUUCCCCACCCCAAAUACAGGCAGCUCGGAGGCAGGGAAGAUUCCUUCGUGCUGGCCUGUGUUUGAGAACUUCCUUGGUCAUCCAGUAUACUAACAUACACAGAGUAGGCUUCUUUUUACCUGUUGAGUGAAUAUUAGCUACUGUGGGAGAGCAUCAGGAAUGUUCACAAUGUGGUCCCCAUCCUCGAGUAGGUAGCAUUUUAGUUGGGCAGCCAUGGUGUACCCACGGGGAACAGUAUGAGAAUUUGGCGUUAAGUAAAGCAAAUACUAAUAGCUAACGUUUGUGUUGUGCGUAAAAUCUGCCUGACACUGUCUCCAGUGCCUUUACAACGUUAGUUUAUUUGAACCUCCUGACAACCCUUUGACACAGAUGCAGUUAUAAUCCUGUUUUACAAAUGAGGAGACAGAGACACAGCGAGGUCAUGAAGUCACCUGCCCAUGACCACAAGGCGAGUAGCAAGGAGGGAGACGGGAUGUGAACCCAGGCAGCCUGGCACUUGAGUCAGAGUGGGUCCCCUGGUUCGGGGGGCAGUUACCUUGUCCGAGAUGGGAGAGAGAUCUAAAGGUUGCCCCAACUUUUCUUUUUCAAAUAUCAAAGUCGUGUACACCAUGGCAGUGACUGAGCUGCAGCAACUGUACUGGAUUCUUCAGGUGGAAGAGGUUGAUUAUGACACGGUGGUGGGGACACUGGAUUUUGAAAUGACUGAGGGCAAGAGGGAAGCAGCUGAGUUGGGAACCUCACAGCUGAGUGGGGAGUAGGACUCUGGGUAUUGAAUUCUAGGACAGUGAUUCACCAGGACACAGGGCAAGGAUCGUUCAAGUUCUAACUCAGUGCCAAGUAACUCCUUCUGCACUAUUAAACAAUGUUGAAUGACACUCUUUAACCACUUUUCCAUUUUAAACACUUUUAAACCCGGAGUGGGUGUAAUUUACCAGGACGGGAGCAGUAUGGAAGGCUUCCUGUGCCUGGCAGCCCUCAUGUGGAAUCUUGACCCACUUUUUCAGCCUGUCUUGGACAGUAAGAACACUCUUGGGGCCGGGAGACCUCUUCAAACCAAGUCAUGUUUCUCAGUGGGGAAAGAAAAAAAACCAAAACAACGUAAAAUGGUGCUGUUGACUGGGUGACACACCUGAGGUGAAGUCACUUUGAGUUGGACGAGGGCCUCCAGACAUAAUCCAGCCAGAUGAAGACAGAUGGCCUUCCCUGAAAGCCCAGUUUUGUGUCCCUUUUGGUCGGGAGCUGACAGUGUUCUUUGGGGGGUGUUGGGCCUCAACAGAAUCCGCUGAAUCCAAAUGACUCGGCAGAUAGGGAAGCACACACAUCAGCACAGCCGCUGUCCAGGAACCGGAGGAGGACGUGCCCUCGAGUGACGUGUGGGCCACCGCCCUGGUCAGCAGCCAGGGAGGGCCCUCAUUCUGCAGGCGUCUUACCUUGGGAACAGCACAGUUUGGCUUCCAUGUCAUCUUUGAGUUUGAGAGAACCCUAGUUUCAGCGUGUCCUCAGUAGAGACCAAAGAACCAGGAGGAGACCUCCCAGCUUCCCCAGAUUGGGAAGAAAAAUAUGGAAUGUGUGUUACCGCUGACUGAACACAACCCAAUGAACUGUCCUGACAGUAGUUUGCAAACCAGCAGUUAGCAGUUUGUCCAGCUCAACACUGUCCAGCACUUUCCAGAGCAGACGCACUGUUUACAAGAACUCGCCGCAUCACGACGACGUUCGGAACCUCAGGCUCUGUUGAUUUCAGAUAUUUCUGCUGAAGAAACGCACCCCGUGGCCCACUUUCCAAAAUGGCCACGGAGGAGUAUCUGUGGAUGGUCAUUUUGGGAUUUAUCAUAGCGUUUAUCUUGGCGUUUUCCGUGGGUGCCAACGACGUGGCCAACUCGUUUGGCACCGCUGUGGGCUCGGGCGUGGUGACCUUGAGGCAGGCCUGCAUCCUGGCUUCCAUAUUUGAAACCACCGGCUCAGUGUUGCUGGGGGCCAAGGUCGGAGAGACCAUCCGGAAAGGUAUCAUCGACGUGAACUUGUACAACGACACCGUGGAGACGCUCAUGGCCGGGGAGGUCAGUGCCAUGGUCGGUAAGUAGCCUCAUCUGCUGACCCACUCCCCUCUCCCCGCUCCCACCCCCGGCCUCUGGUCAUAUCCAUAAGUGUGAAUUUUUUUUUUUUUUUUUUUUUUGCUUUAAAUUUUCAAAAACUUGUUCUCUGUUUCUCUUUUUAAUUGAAGGAUAGGUGACUUACUUUUUUAUUGAAUUAUAUAGUUGGUUUGCAGUGUUGUGUUAGUUUCAGGUGUACAACAGAGUGAUUCAGUUAUAUAUGUGUAUAUACAUAUACAUACCCCUGUCUUUUUCAGACUUAUUUCUUAUCUACUGUAUCUUAAAUUUUUGCUUUCUGUGUUUUAAUUUGGGUAUGAUUUUGCUCAGUGUUCAAAUAUCAAGCAACCAUUUCUUUUCUUGAAUGUGUAGCAAACUUGCAUGUUAAAGUAGAUUUUGGCCGAGUCGGUACUUUAUGAAAAGUACAGAGAAAGGUAUUUGUAGCAUAGCUCUUUUGUUUUGUUUUCUUGGGCUGCACCAAGGCAUGCAGAAGUUUCUGGGCCAGGGAUUGAACCUGAGCCAUAGAAGUGACAGCGCCUCUACCUGCUGAGCCACUAGGAAACUCCCAUCUUUGUCAUUUUAAAGUUGUUUGAAUGUUAUUGAAGGAAGACCAUGUUGGGGAUUCCCACUGUGGCACAGCAGGUUGAGAACUAGUACCUCUGAAGAUUCAGGUUCGAUCCCUGGCCUCACUUAGUGGGUUAAGGAUCCGGCAUUGCCAUGAGCUGUGGUGUAGGUUGCAGAUGUGGCUCAGAUCUGGUGUUGCUGUGGCUGUGGUGUAGGCCAGCAGCUGCAGCUCCAAUUUGACCCCUAGCCCGGCAACCUCCAUAUGCCCUGGCUGUGGCCCUAAAAAAAAAUUAAAAUUAAAAAAUAUAUUAAAAAAAAAACAAAGAAAGAAUAUGCCUAACAGAAUGUGUUUGAAAGGUCUGCUUAGGAGAUUUCCUUGCAGAUCUACUUCUAUUUUUUCAUGGAUUUUUUAUCAGUUAGAAUGAGACGUUUUAAAACCUUGGCUGCCCCAAACAGUAGCUUAACUUUUGUGUUCUCGAUUUAAGUUGUAGAGCAGUUACCAAAUGAAUCUUAUGUGCUUAUGCUUUGAGAAAUUCUGGUCUUUUCUGUCAUUUGUCAUUCUUUUGUUGGCUUUUCUAAUUCCAUCUAUGGGAGCUCCACUUGGGGGACACUUGCUUUCUGGCCUGAAGGUCACUUGUUUGUCAGCUGUUCACAGGAGGACCUCUUGUUGGUUAGUGUCACAUCGUAUGGAUGCCAGGAGGGUGUGGAGAGCGGUGGCUGCAUCAGUAAGUGGAUCGUCUGGUUGGACAUGUGGUUUCUCCACUGCCCCAGGUGCCCACAGAUUUGCAGCUCCGUGGGCACUGCUUCAUUUGAGCAGCGUGCCUUACUUAGGUGCAGCUGACAGGACCCUCCUUUGCUUGCCUCUGGGUCCAGGUGACACUUAGCAGAUGGCAGGUGUACAGGGAGUUGGGGGGUAGGGUGGGGAGAAGGAUCCUGCCUCCUCUGCUUUCGAGAGGGCACCUGCUUUUGUGGAGACAGCCCUACAGUGGGAGGCCGGGCGCUGGUCUUAAAACACAGCUACGUCCCACGGGUCCCCAGUGAUAGCCCUUCUUAAACACCCAGGAUGUGCAGAGGAUUUAAGACGGCUCAUCAUCUUUUCAUUACUGCAGGUGUUUCGGCAGUUGUUGAGGCCUUUGGGAGCAGACUGGUGUCCUCAGUAAGGGAUUAAAUACCACUCGGCAUGGUCGGCUGCUCACGGGUGCCAAAGAGUUCCUCUUACUCAGCUUCACAUUUUGUGUUUGAAAGAUGGAAGGUUUCAUUGUAGGUUGAAGACUUGGCUCUGGCGUUGCUGUGGCUUAGGCUGGCAGCCACAGCUCCAGUUCGACCUCUAGCCCGGGAACUUCCAUAUGCCUCCGGGGCGGCCCUGAAAAGACUAAAAAGUUGAAAAAAAGGAAGAUUCAUGAUUGUUUUAAUUAAUGUAUGUUUAAUUUUUAAAUUUUUUGGCUACAACAUGCAAGGGCUUGAUGUGGGAUCCCAGUUGCCAGACCAGGGCUUGAACCCAGGCUGAGGCAGUGAAUGUGCUGAGUCCUAACCACUAGACCACCAGGGAACUCCCAAUAUUUAUGUUUAAGAAUUAAAAAUCAUGGCGUUCCCAUUGUGGCGUAGUGAAUUACCCGGCAUAGUGUCUGUGAUGAUGCAGGUUCGAUCUCUGGCCUCACUCAGUGGGUUAAAGAUCUGGCAUUGCCACAAGCUGCAGUGUGGGUCACAGAUCUGGCUUGGAUCUGGCAUUGCUGUGGCUGUGGUGUAGCCCUCAGCUAUAGCUCGGAUUCAACCCCUAGCCUGGGAAAUUCCAUAUGUCACAAGUGCAGCCAUAAAGUUUAAAAAAAAAAAAAUUCAAAAUCAUUUACUACAACAGCUAUUGUAAUUACUGAAUUUACUCACCUUCACUGAAUGUACACUUUCCAUCUUAGUCAGAUAGCAUUGAUGUUUCCCCUAGAAAAAUAAGUUACUUAUAAAAUUCACC
This 6496-nucleotide long non-coding RNA is filed under the name Sus scrofa (pig). RNAcentral describes it as "lncRNA (ENSSSCG00005010750.1)". Lineage: Eukaryota; Metazoa; Chordata; Mammalia; Artiodactyla; Suidae. The record is from RNAcentral.